GUGGCCCCCUCAAAAUAUAGGGGCGAUUCAGAUGAUUCCACUGAUAUUGAGACUGAGCCAAAGAAACUUAAGAAGUCAAAGGUGAGGGCGGACCCUGCAGAAGAGUUCCUUAAGACAUAUGUACCUGGCCAGCCUCAUUCAGUUGACAAUCAUGACCUGAGAAAGACACUGGUGGAGUUAAAGCAGGAGGUAAAGGACCUUAAAGAAGAGAACGCCAAAUGGAAGGAAAUGGUUCUUCAAGAUGUGCCAGGACUCCUAUAUGGCAUGAAAAAAAUAAUGGAUUCUAUUACACCUACUAAGACUACCACACCAAGGCUGACCUUGCAAG
Molecule: long non-coding RNA, 328 nt
Organism: Fundulus heteroclitus (mummichog)
Lineage: Eukaryota; Metazoa; Chordata; Actinopteri; Cyprinodontiformes; Fundulidae
Exons: 3
Source: RefSeq, a predicted model, not a curated record